GAUGAACGCUAGCGGCAGGCCUAACACAUGCAAGUCGAGGGGUAGAGUUAGCUUGCUAACUUGAGACCGGCGCACGGGUGCGUAACGCGUAUGCAAUCUACCUUGUACAGAGGGAUAGCCCAGAGAAAUUUGGAUUAAUACCUCAUAGUAUCUUUACCUGGCAUCGGGUAAUUAUUAAAGUUCCAACGGUACAAGAUGAGCAUGCGUCCCAUUAGUUAGUUGGUAAGGUAACGGCUUACCAAGACAAUGAUGGGUAGGGGUCCUGAGAGGGAGAUCCCCCACACUGGUACUGAGACACGGACCAGACUCCUACGGGAGGCAGCAGUGAGGAAUAUUGGUCAAUGGACGCAAGUCUGAACCAGCCAUGCCGCGUGCAGGAAGACGGUCCUAUGGAUUGUAAACUGCUUUUAUACAGGAAGAAACAACUCUACGUGUAGAGUCUUGACGGUACUGUAGGAAUAAGGAUCGGCUAACUCCGUGCCAGC
RNAcentral lists this ribosomal RNA (485 nucleotides) under uncultured bacterium. RNAcentral's name for it is "bacterial SSU rRNA". It matches the Rfam family "Bacterial small subunit ribosomal RNA", at positions 28 to 512 of the family's 1533-position model. The record is from RNAcentral.